RNAcentral lists this ribosomal RNA (449 nucleotides) under uncultured bacterium. Its description in RNAcentral is "partial 16S ribosomal RNA". It matches the Rfam family "Bacterial small subunit ribosomal RNA", at positions 29 to 523 of the family's 1533-position model. The record is from RNAcentral.
AACGAACGCUGGCGGCAUGCCUAAUACAUGCAAGUCGAACGAUCUCUUCGGAGAUAGUGGCGCACGGGUGCGUAACGCGUGGGAACCUGCCCUUGGGUUCGGAAUAACGUCGGGAAACUGACGCUAAUACCGGAUGAUGACGUAAGUCCAAAGAUUUAUCGCCCAGGGAUGAGCCCGCGUAGGAUUAGCUAGUUGGUGGGGUAAAGGCCUACCAAGGCGACGAUCCUUAGCUGGUCUGAGAGGAUGAUCAGCCACACUGGGACUGAGACACGGCCCAGACUCCUACGGGAGGCAGCAGUUGGGAAUAUUGGACAAUGGGGGAAACCCUGAUCCAGCCAUGCCGCGUGUGUGAUGAAGGCCUUAGGGUUGUAAAGCACUUUCGGCUGUGAAGAUAAUGACAGUAGCAGAAGAAGAAGCUCCGGCUAAAUUCGUGCCAGCCGCCGCAGUAA